RNAcentral lists this ribosomal RNA (483 nucleotides) under uncultured bacterium. RNAcentral's name for it is "bacterial SSU rRNA". It matches the Rfam family "Bacterial small subunit ribosomal RNA", at positions 30 to 527 of the family's 1533-position model. The record is from RNAcentral.
AUUGAACGCUGGCGGCAUGCCUUACACAUGCAAGUCGAACGGCAGCACGGGAGCAAUCCUGGUGGCGAGUGGCGAACGGGUGAGUAAUAUAUCGGAACGUGCCCAGUCGUGGGGGAUAACGUAGCGAAAGCUACGCUAAUACCGCAUACGAUCUAUGGAUGAAAGCGGGGGAUCGCAAGACCUCGCGCGAUUGGAGCGGCCGAUAUCAGAUUAGGUAGUUGGUGAGGUAAAGGCUCACCAAGCCGACGAUCUGUAGCUGGUCUGAGAGGACGACCAGCCACACUGGGACUGAGACACGGCCCAGACUCCUACGGGAGGCAGCAGUGGGGGAAUUUUUGGACAAUGGGCGCAAGCCUGAUCCAGCCAUGCCGCGUGAGUGAUGAAGGCCUUAGGGUUGUAAAGCUCUUUUUGUCCGGGUAAGAUAAUGACUGUACCGGAAGAAUAAGCCCCGGCUAACUUCGUGCCAGCAGCCGCGGUAAAGUG